GACAGAGGGUGCAAACGUUGUUCGGAAUUACUGGGCGUAAAGCGAGUGUAGGCGGUGUGGUAAGUCGGAUGUGAAAGCCCCGGGCUCAACCCGGGAAGUGCACUCGAUACUGCCACGCUAGAGUAUCGGAGAGGUUGGUGGAAUUCUCGGUGUAGAGGUGAAAUUCGUAGAUAUCGAGAGGAACACCGGUGGCGAAGGCGGUUGCCUGGGGCUUUGCUGACGCUGAUGCGCGAAAGCGUGGGGAGCGAUCCGG
Molecule: ribosomal RNA, 253 nt
Filed under: uncultured bacterium
Lineage: Bacteria
Description: partial 16S ribosomal RNA
Rfam family: Bacterial small subunit ribosomal RNA
Source: RNAcentral